ACGGGUGAGUAACACGUAGGUAACCUGCCUAUGAGACUGGGAUAACUAUCGGAAACGAUAGCUAAGACCGGAUAACUGGUUUUCUCGCAUGAGAGAAUCAUGAAACACGGAGCAAUCUGUGGCUUAUAGAUGGGCCUGCGGCGCAUUAGCUAGUUGGUAGGGUAAUGGCCUACCAAGGCGACGAUGCGUAGCCGACCUGAGAGGGUGAACGGCCACACUGGGACUGAGACACGGCCCAGACUCCUACGGGAGGCAGCAGUAGGGAAUCUUCCGCAAUGGACGCAAGUCUGACGGAGCAACGCCGCGUGAGUGAUGAAGGUUUUCGGAUCGUAAAGCUCUGUUGCCCUAGACGAACAGCAUGAGGAGUAACUGCCUUGUGUGUGACGGUAUAGGAGAAGAAAGCCCCGGCUAACUACGUGCCAGCAGCCGCGGUAAUACGUAGGGGGCAAGCGUUGUCCGGAAUUAUUGGGCGUAAAGCGCGCGCAGGCGGUUAAUUAAGUUGGGUGUUUAAGCCCGGGGCUCAACCCCGGUUCGCAUCCAAAACUGGUUGACUUGAGUGUAGGAGAGGAAAGUGGAAUUCCACGUGU
RNAcentral lists this ribosomal RNA (587 nucleotides) under uncultured bacterium. RNAcentral's name for it is "bacterial SSU rRNA". It matches the Rfam family "Bacterial small subunit ribosomal RNA", at positions 102 to 676 of the family's 1533-position model. The record is from RNAcentral.